UCGUAACAAGGUCUCCGUUGGUGAACCAGCGGAGGGAUCAUUACCGAGUUUUCAACUCCCUAACCCUUAUGUGAACCUACCUAUUGUUGCUUCGGCGGACUCGCCCCAGCCGGACGCGGACUGGACCAGCGGCCGCCGGGGACCCUCAAACUCUUGUAUUAUCAGCAUCUUCUGAAUACGCCGCAAGGCAAAACAAAUAAAUCAAAACUUUCAACAACGGAUCUCUUGGCUCUGGCAUCGAUGAAGAACGCAGCGAAAUGCGAUAAGUAAUGUGAAUUGCAGAAUCCAGUGAAUCAUCGAAUCUUUGAACGCACAUUGCGCCCGCCAGCAUUCUGGCGGGCAUGCCUGUUCGAGCGUCAUUUCAACCCUCGACCUCCCUUUGGGGAAGUCGGCGUUGGGGACCGGCAGCACACCGCCGGCCCUGAAAUGGAGUGGCGGCCCGUCCGCGGCGACCUCUGCGUAGUAAUCCAACUCGCACCGGAACCCCGACGCGGCCACGCCGUAAAACACCCAACUUCUGAACGUUGACCUCGAAUCAGGUAGGACUACCCGCUGAACUUAAGC
This 564-nucleotide ribosomal RNA is filed under the name Beauveria brongniartii. Its description in RNAcentral is "eukaryotic LSU rRNA". The stretch from base 206 to 359 matches the Rfam family "5.8S ribosomal RNA". Lineage: Eukaryota; Fungi; Ascomycota; Sordariomycetes; Hypocreales; Cordycipitaceae. The record is from RNAcentral.